This 465-nucleotide ribosomal RNA is filed under the name uncultured bacterium. Its description in RNAcentral is "partial 16S ribosomal RNA". It matches the Rfam family "Bacterial small subunit ribosomal RNA", at positions 28 to 507 of the family's 1533-position model. The record is from RNAcentral.
GACGAACGCUGGCGGCGUGCUUAACACAUGCAAGUCGAACGGAAAGGCCCUGCUUGCAGGGUACUCGAGUGGCGAACGGGUGAGUAACACGUGGGUGAUCUGCCCUGCACUUCGGGAUAAACCUGGGAAACUGGGUCUAAUACCGGAUAGGAGCCAUUUUUAGUGUGAUGGUUGGAAAGUUUUUUCGGUGUAGGAUGAGCUCGCGGCCUAUCAGCUUGUUGGUGGGGUAAUGGCCUACCAAGGCGGCGACGGGUAGCCGGCCUGAGAGGGUGGACGGCCACAUUGGGACUGAGAUACGGCACAGACUCCUACGGGAGGCAGCAGUGGGGAAUAUUGCACAAUGGGCGCAAGCCUGAUGCAGCGACGCCGCGUGGGGGAUGACGGCCUUCGGGUUGUAAACUCCUUUCGCUAGGGACGAAGCUUUUUGUGACGGUACCUAGAUAAGAAGCACCGGCUAACUACGUG